AUCAGUGAAACUGAUCUCUCCGUGAAGAAGCGGGGAUAUUUACAUAAGACGAGAAGACCCCAUGGAGCUUUAAACCCGAUGUCACCCAUUUUCCUCUACACCCUAAUAUUCAAUUUGGCCCUGCCCUGUCGGUUUUAGGUUGGGGUGACCACGGAGUAUAAUAUACCCUCCAUGAAAAAGGGAGUAAUAAUCCUUAUUAGAGAACAACACUUCUAAAAAUUAAAACAUUAAUUUAUAAUGAUCCGAUAUUCGAUCAACGAACCAAGUUACCCUGGGGAUAACAGCGCAAUCUGCCUCAAGAGCCCCUAUCGACAGGCGGGUUUACGACCUCGAUGUUGGAUCAGGGCAUCCCAGUGGUGCAGCAGCUACUAAAGGUUCGUUUGUUCAACGAUUAAAACCCU
This 401-nucleotide ribosomal RNA is filed under the name Boophis marojezensis. RNAcentral's name for it is "partial 16S ribosomal RNA". It matches the Rfam family "Bacterial large subunit ribosomal RNA", at positions 2032 to 2597 of the family's 2925-position model. The record is from RNAcentral. Lineage: Eukaryota; Metazoa; Chordata; Amphibia; Anura; Mantellidae.